RNAcentral lists this small nucleolar RNA (93 nucleotides) under Jatropha curcas. RNAcentral's name for it is "Small nucleolar RNA snoR26". It matches the Rfam family "Small nucleolar RNA snoR26". Lineage: Eukaryota; Viridiplantae; Streptophyta; Magnoliopsida; Malpighiales; Euphorbiaceae. The record is from Rfam by way of RNAcentral.
UGGGCAUCAGUGAUGAGUUCAUAUAAAAUCGUUAUCCUUGCACUUUGAUUUGCAAUGAAGAAAUUAAUGGGGAUUUAUAUCUCUGAGAUGCUC